GGCCUGCUGGCCCAAUGGCAAGGCGUCUGACUACGAAUCAGGAGAUUGCAGGUUCGAUCCCUGCGUAGGUCA
This is a transfer RNA of Dactylellina haptotyla CBS 200.50, 72 nucleotides long. It matches the Rfam family "tRNA". From Rfam's summary of the family: Transfer RNA (tRNA) molecules are approximately 80 nucleotides in length. Their secondary structure includes four short double-helical elements and three loops (D, anti-codon, and T loops). Lineage: Eukaryota; Fungi; Ascomycota; Orbiliomycetes; Orbiliales; Orbiliaceae. The record is from Rfam.